This 484-nucleotide ribosomal RNA is filed under the name uncultured bacterium. Its description in RNAcentral is "partial 16S ribosomal RNA". It matches the Rfam family "Bacterial small subunit ribosomal RNA", at positions 29 to 507 of the family's 1533-position model. The record is from RNAcentral.
AUUGAACGCUGGCGGCAUGCUUUACACAUGCCAGUCGGACGGCAGCGCGGGCUUCGGCCUGGCGGCGAGUGGCGAACGGGUGAGUAAUACAUCGGAACGUGCCCAGUAGUGGGGGAUAGCUCGGCGAAAGCCGGAUUAAUACCGCAUACGACCUGAGGGUGAAAGCGGGGGAUCUUCGGACCUCGCGCUAUUGGAGCGGCCGAUGGCAGAUUAGCUAGUUGGUGGGGUAAAGGCCUACCAAGGCGACGAUCUGUAGCUGGUCUGAGAGGACGACCAGCCACACUGGGACUGAGACACGGCCCAGACUCCUACGGGAGGCAGCAGUGGGGAAUUUUGGACAAUGGGCGAAAGCCUGAUCCAGCAAUGCCGCGUGUGUGAUGAAGGCCUUCGGGUUGUAAAGCACUUUUGGCGGGAACGAAAAGGACUGUGCCAAUACCACGGUUCGAUGACGGUACCCGCAGAAUAAGCACCGGCUAACUACGUG